RNAcentral lists this transfer RNA (69 nucleotides) under Neotermes insularis. RNAcentral's name for it is "tRNA-Ile". The record is from RNAcentral. Lineage: Eukaryota; Metazoa; Arthropoda; Insecta; Blattodea; Kalotermitidae.
AGUGCAGAGCCUGAAUAAAGGAUCAUCGUGAUAGGAUGAAACAUGUAAUUGACCAUUUUACCUACACUA